Neopsephotus bourkii (Bourke's parrot) is the source of this 1533-nucleotide long non-coding RNA. RefSeq lists it as uncharacterized. The record is from RefSeq and is a predicted model, not a curated record. The transcript has 4 exons. NCBI's taxonomy places the organism in Eukaryota, Metazoa, Chordata, Aves, Psittaciformes, Psittacidae.
AUUGGACUAAGAAAAAAUGGAUUUAAAUGCAAUUUGUGCUGAAUAAUUUCGGCAUAAUCUUAACACACACAAGUUCUAGGUGUGAAUACCUACCCCGUAUAUGUGUGUACUAACAUGAUACUAAAUGUUGUUGUUUCAUCUGUCUCUAGCAAAUAUUCAAAACAUCAUCACAAAUUUGUUGCCCUCCCACCCCUCAGGGUUGUUGUCUACCCAGAUGUGGCUGCAUUGUCAGUAUCAAUUUACGUAAUUUUUCUCAAUUCAAAACAAGGCAGUAUAAGUGUAAAAUGUGUGUACAUCCAGUUCCCAAGUAAAUAUGUUCUGCACCCCAGAGCUUCUGUGUUUCACAAACUCUUCCAAGCCAGGAAAAUCUUAAAGGGUAGUAAAAAACGUGAGUGCCGUACUGCUCUUCUCGCAUAAGGUAAAUCCAAGAAUGACUGAAAACUUUUAUAAGGAUCCCAUUUUUCUAGCAAUCUCCCUUUCCAGGAGUGGUUCUCUACCUGUUCACAUGUUCAGCUACCCUCAAGCAAGGGAUAGGCUGUUCUUUCCUCCCUUUAUUAGGCUUUUUUAACUACCAUUAUCUUUUUAUCUGAGUUACUUUUCCAGCUGGGUUUUUAACUUAGUUACUGGUUGGUAAACGCUGGUCUUCAUAAGUUUGAAUAAUGACAGAUUUUGACAACAUUAAACAAAAAAAAUUAGAUACCUGAAAGUAUCACAGAAUUCAACCCUCUUGAGUCUGUUUUUUUAUUUAAUGUCUAGAUGAAAAUGCUACCUUCUAAGUCUCCGUGCAUGUGGCUUGGUCCUUGGGACAAGUGCCAAGACAAGAAUUUUAGAUGCCUGAAAUCAUGUGCUCAGCAGGUGUAAAUUGUAUUCAGGGAGCGUUCACCUUUUCUCUUUAACCCCGAAGGCAGUUUCUCUUCAUUAGCAAGGGGAGAUGGAGAAAAAGAUUAUCACCAUUGCCUGACUAUAUGCCAGUGUUAUGUAUCAUAAGAAGAAAAUCUGUUCAUAUGUUCACAAAUAUGUUUUUUCCUAAUCUGUCUUCUGGAAGAAGUCUUUGGGAGGAGCAAGGGGUAAGAAUGGCAGGAGACUUGAAAUGAAGUGACAGAAACAGAAGCAAAAUUUCUCUACAGAGAUUUUUUCAAGCAGGACCUGCAUGGUAGCACAAGCAACUUAACUACUAGAGAGCCAGGCAGUGAAAAGGAGCCAUGUGGAGUAUCCGUAUUCUUCUGGGGCAAACAGCUGAGGUAGUGACAGGCCAGAAUCAGCCCAUGUGAAAAUACAAUUUUAUCCAGCCACAGCAGCUGAACUUGGGAUGUUUGAGUCCACAGGUGACCCUAAGCUACAGCAUCUUCCUCAGAGAUACACAGCAGGGUCAACAGCAGACCUGGAGUUCCAUGGCUCGGCUCUGCAGCAGCAAAGCCCAUGGGAAGGGCCCUGUGUGUCAAGCCUUAGGCAGAAGCAUCAAGGUACGAGUCCCUUUAAAGGAGACCCAUAAUAGAAAAAAAUGUAUUUGUCCUGUUCUGAGGAAUAAAAAGG